GGAACUCGGAGUCUAGUUGAUGGAAUGAGAUGAAUGCAAAUAAUCAUAAGCCCUUCUGUCUCCAUGACUGGAUUUAUGAAAGAAUAAUAUAAUUCA
Long non-coding RNA from Pteropus alecto (black flying fox), 96 nucleotides. RefSeq lists it as uncharacterized. Lineage: Eukaryota; Metazoa; Chordata; Mammalia; Chiroptera; Pteropodidae. The record is from RefSeq and is a predicted model, not a curated record. The transcript has 3 exons.